RNAcentral lists this ribosomal RNA (465 nucleotides) under Vreelandella stevensii. Its description in RNAcentral is "partial 16S ribosomal RNA". It matches the Rfam family "Bacterial small subunit ribosomal RNA", at positions 338 to 795 of the family's 1533-position model. The record is from RNAcentral. Lineage: Bacteria; Pseudomonadati; Pseudomonadota; Gammaproteobacteria; Oceanospirillales; Halomonadaceae.
CCUACGGGUGGCAGCAGUGGGGAAUAUGUGACAAUGGGGGGAACCCUGAUCCAGCCAUGCCGCGUGUGUGAAGAAGGCCCUCGGGUUGUAAAGCACUUUCAGUGAGGAAGAACGCCUGGUGGUUAAUACCCAUCAGGAAAGACAUCACUCACAGAAGAAGCACCGGCUAACUCCGUGCCAGCAGCCGCGGUAAUACGGAGGGUGCGAGCGUUAAUCGGAAUUACUGGGCGUAACGCGCGCGUAGGUGGCUUGAUAAGCCGGUUGUGAAAGCCCCGGGCUCAACCUGGGAACGGCAUCCGGAACUGUUAAGCUAGAGUGCCGGAGAGGAAGGUAGAAUUCCCGGUGUAGCGGUGAAAUGCGUAGAGAUCGGGAGGAAUACCAGUGGCGAAGGCGGCCUUCUGGACUGACACUGACACUGAGGUGCGAAAGCGUGGGUAGCAAACAGGAUUAGAUACCCGAGUAGUC